Pelobates cultripes (western spadefoot toad) is the source of this 719-nucleotide non-coding RNA. Lineage: Eukaryota; Metazoa; Chordata; Amphibia; Anura; Pelobatidae. The record is from the annotation of a GenBank genome assembly.
AUGGAUAUUAGGCCAUUCUUUCAUCCACUGGGCACAUAGAAGAGCUGUGGAGAGGUCAUAUGGCGAGAAUGUGAGUUUUGAUAAUGAGACCGCUUUAAUUUAUUCGGUUGGUGUAAAUGGUUUAUUAAGGGAUGAUGUUUUAAAAGUUUUACAAAGCUGUUUUGGCCAAAUUCCUUGGCCACAUGUUAUUAUUUUUCAUUAUGGUGGGAAUGAUGUGGGCAGAGUCAAGUCAGUGGUUUUGUUUCAUCAACUUAAGGAGGAUGUUUUUCACUCUAAGUAAAUGUUCACGGACUGGCUAAUUAUUUGGUCUGAAAUAGUCCCAAGGUUAAUUUGGUUGCACAAUACUAAGCUUAAAUUGCUAGAGAGAGUUCGGCGCAAGCUCAACAAAGCCAUGGAGAAAUUUAUGCAAUCAGUUGGUGGUUUUUCUUUUCGCCAUGUCAACAAUGAGGGGCAGUGCAAAGGUUUGUUUAUAAGGGAUGGUAUUCAUUUAUCUGAUGCCGGUUUGGAUAUUUGUAAUAAUGAUUUACAGUGCAUGAUUGAUAAGGCCGUGGUCUGGUGGGGUGGGCUGCAGCAUUAGUUGCAUGCUGCAGCUUGUGGGGUUGAGGUCACCUGCCUAAUUUAAAGGGGGGUGGACUAGCUGAGUUUCAUUAUCAUUAUGUUUAAGUUCUGGCUAAUAGGGCAGAACUCUGGUGAGUUUUGUGUUAAGUGUUAAAGACCAG